UACGGAGGAUGCGAGCGUUAUCCGGAUUUAUUGGGUUUAAAGGGCGCGUAGGCGGACCAUCAAGUCAGCGGUCAAAAGUCGGGGCUCAACCCCGUAAAGCCGUUGAAACUGGCGGUCUUGAGUGAGCGAGAAGCAGGCGGAAUGCGUGGUGUAGCGGUGAAAUGCAUAGAUAUCACGCAGAACCCCGAUUGCGAAGGCAGCCUGCCGGCGCUCAACUGACGCUGAGGCACGAAAGUGCGGGGAUCGAACAG
Molecule: ribosomal RNA, 251 nt
Filed under: uncultured bacterium
Lineage: Bacteria
Description: partial 16S ribosomal RNA
Rfam family: Bacterial small subunit ribosomal RNA
Source: RNAcentral